Molecule: ribosomal RNA, 385 nt
Filed under: uncultured soil bacterium
Lineage: Bacteria
Description: bacterial SSU rRNA
Rfam family: Bacterial small subunit ribosomal RNA
Source: RNAcentral
AGAUUGAACGCUGGCGGCAUGCCUUACACAUGCAAGUCGAACGGCAGCACGGGAGCAAUCCUGGUGGCGAGUGGCGAACGGGUGAGUAAUAUAUCGGAACGUGCCCAGUCGUGGGGGAUAACGCAGUGAAAGCUGUGCUAAUACCGCAUACGAUCUAUGGAUGAAAGCGGGGGACUCGCAAGAGCCUCGCGCGAUUGGAGCGGCCGAUAUCAGAUUAGCUAGUUGGUGGGGUAAUGGCCUACCAAGGCUUCGACGGGUAGCCGGCCUGAGAGGGUGACCGGCCACACUGGGACUGAGACACGGCCCAGACUCCUACGGGAGCAGCAGUGGGGAAUAUUGGACAAUGGGCGAAAGCCUGAUCCAGCAAUGCCGCGUGAGUGAUGAA